This 6103-nucleotide long non-coding RNA is filed under the name Musa acuminata (dwarf banana). RNAcentral describes it as "long non-coding RNA (MACU_LNC004313)". The record is from RNAcentral. Lineage: Eukaryota; Viridiplantae; Streptophyta; Magnoliopsida; Zingiberales; Musaceae.
UUACUGGAGGAAUCCUUGCUCCUCCUCCCUGUGUGCAAUGGCCGCUGGCUCCGUUCCCCUUCUUUCGGAGGAUGCAGUACCUCUCCAAGAGUGCAGGGACCUCAUCGCAUCCCUCCCGGUCGACCACCGCGUCGUCCCCGUGCGGCAAUACCAAGGGUUUUGGUGGCCGGAGAGCACCCUCCCCGGCGUCAUCGCCGUCCAACGCCACUUCAAGUCUCGACCCGAUGACGUCUUCCUCGCCACCUACCCCAAGUCCGGCACGACCUGGCUGAAGUCUCUCGCCUUCGCCGUCACGACCAGGUCGCAGUACCCGCUAUCCGACCACCCUCUCCUCCAGAUCAACCCCCACCAGUGCGUGCACUCGCUGGAGAGGAUGUUCAACCGGGGCCGCAGCUCCGAGAUCGACGCCCUGCCCUCCCCUCGCAUCCUCGCCACCCACAUGCUCCACUCCGUGCUCCCCGACUCCAUCGCCGCCUCCGACUGCCGGAUCGUGUACCUGUGGCGCGACCCCAAGGACGUGAUCGUCUCCGCGUGGCACUUCGGCGAGAAGGUGCUGGGGACCCGGGAGUACCAGGCGGAGUGGCCGGUGGACAAGGUCGCCAUGGCGCACUGCGAGGGGAUCUCCACCCACGCGACGAUCUGGGAUCACAUCCUCGGGUACUGGAGGGCGCGAAUGCACCGUCCGGAGAAGAUACUCUUCCUGAGGUACGAAGAGAUGUUGGCGGAGCCGGCGGCCAACCUGAAGAGGAUGGCCGACUUCCUGGGUUGCCCCUUCUCGCCGGAGGAAGAGAAGGCAGGCAUGGUGGAGGAGAUCGUCACCCUGUGUAGCUUCAAUAAUCUGAGCGGCUUGGCGAUAAAUAAGCCGUCGAGCGACGUGACCGAUGAGGGGACGAAGUUGCAGCUGCUGAACAAUGCAUCCUUCUUCCGCAAAGGAGAGAGGGGUGACUGGAGGAACCACAUGAGCCCGGAGGUAGCUCGGAGGAUGGAUGAAAUGACCAUGGAGAAGCUUCAAGGAUCAGGGCUGAGCUUUUGAUGUAGACGCCAACACCGCAGGAGAAGCUUUAAGGCCCUUUUGGCUGCCGUCUUUUUCUUCUGGUUUUUGCUUCCCUUUGUUAUCAGUAAUAACGCAACGCAGGCUGUAGGAAGUGUUGCGUGAUGUUGUUUCUCAUCGCUAGUUUAAUUUGCUUUUGUUUUUUGGUUAAAGAUCUGUAACUUGCAUCUACUCUUCUUUUAAUUCUCACCAACGCUUAAUUAACUCAAUUAUUUACCAACUAAACGAGUGUAUAUAUAUAUAUAUAUAUAUACCAUGUUGAGAUUAAUUAGUAUUCUUAGAAAUGCCUGUAUUCCACGAAUCUUGAAGCAGAAUGGACAUGGAUCGCGUGCCUAAGUGGACGUUCCGUGUCUACGUUUACAGUGGAGAUUCUACAGCAACCAUGUCUAGUGGAAGAGAAUCCAAUCUUCAUUAAUUGGAAGUCUAUAGCAACCAUGUCUACGUUUAUAGUGGAGAUUCUACAACAAAGUCCUAUAGUCCGAUAUCGAGAAAAUUAGACUUGUUGUCUCGUCUUAGAACUAUAAAUAAGAGCAUGAACUUUGAAGUCAGAUGCACCACAAGAAAACCUAAGUAUUUACUUUGGUUUAAGUCCACACUCAGUUAAAUAGGUGGAUUUAUAGUUUGAGUUUUUCUUGUUUAGUAUUUUUGGGUGUUUUAUGGCCUAUGAACAUCUUCCUAAGGCAUUUGUAAUAGUUCUUUUUCAUAGUAGUGAUUUGCUCCUCUUUCGUCCUUGGAUGUAGGUCAAAGUUAAUUGACCGAACCACGAAAAUAUGGUGUUCUUGUCGCUUUUAUCUUUUCACUUUAUUGUCUUUGUUGUGUUGCCAAAAUUACCUUGUGGUAAAUUUUCUAGGGCUAGCUCUAAUAAACUGGUAUCAGAGCUUGGUUUCGGGAUCUUUUGGUAACGAUGACAAUAACAAAGAUCGUUGUCGAGUAAUUCGACAUAAAUGUCAACUUCGGCUUGUGGCAACUCAAGAUGGAGGUCAUUCUAGUUCAAGACGGAGUUGAUUUGGUACUAUAGGGAGUCGAGAGCAUUCCAGAUGAUAUGUCAAAAGAAAAGCUUGCGAGUAUGGAUAAGAAGGUCCGAUCAAGCAUCAUUCUAAAUCUCUCUGACGAGGUUUUACGGGAGGUAGCUACGGAGACUACGGCUAAGAGCAUGUGGGACAAGCUUAAAGCCUUGUACAUGAAGAGGACAGUGGAGAAUCGUCUCUACUUGAAGCAGAGUCUAUAUAUGCUUCGGAUGACUGAAGGUAUAUCUAUAUUCUCACAUCUUGAUAAGUUUGAUUCUUUGGUUAUGGAUUUGGAGAAUAUAGAUGCAAAAAUCGAUGAUGAGGAUAAGGCUUUGUUACUCUUGUGUUCUCUUCCCUAAUCUUUUAAGCAUUUCCAUGAUACUUUGAUUUAUGGAAAAAAACAGUUUCGUAUCAAGAAAUUAAAUCUGCAUUGAAAUCUAAGGAGCAGAUAGACAGGAAUAUCACUGGGGAAAAUAGAGAGAAUCAGGUUGAGGGUCUGGUCGUUAGGGGGAGAAUGGAUAAAAGAGAAUUUGAUAGUAGUAGAUCUAAAUCUAGAUCUAAAUCCAGACAUAGAAAUUUGGAAUGCAGAUAUUGUCAUAAAAUGGGGCACAUUAAAUCUGAUUGCUUUAAAUUAAAAAAUAAAUUAAAGUAAAAGGAAAAUUUUAUUGAGAAAACUAUUGAAUCCGCUGAAGUUAGUGUAGCAACUGAUGAGAAUGUUGGAAAUAUUUUCUCUGCUAGUGAUGACAGGACGAGGUCUAAAAUUGAAUGGAUUUUAGAUUCAGGUUGUUCUUAUCACAUGUGUCCCAAUAGGGAUUUGUUUUCCACAUAUGAAUCUUGUAAUGGUGGAAUUGUUUUGAUGGGCAAUAAUGCCGCAUGUGAUGUUGUUGGUAGAGGCACAAUCCGAAUUAAAAUGCAUGAUGGUAUUGUGAGGACGCUCACUAAUGUUAGACAUGUUCCUGAUUUAAAAAAGAAUUUUAUCUCUUUAGGCACCCUAGAGGCCCUUGGGUGUAAAUACACAGUUAAAGGUGGAGUUAUGAAAGUUUCUAGAAGUGCUCUUGUUGUUAUGAAAGCUUGUAGGUCUGGUAGCUUGUAUAUUCUGCAGGGAACUACUGUCACAGGUUCGGUUGCAGUUUCGUCAUCAUCAUUGUCUGAUUUUGACAUCACCAAAUUAUGGCAUAUGGGUUUGGAUCAUAUGAGCGAAAAAGGUUUGAGCAUAUUGAGCAAAAGGGGUCUACUUUGUGGACAGAGUAUUGGGUCACUUGUUUUUUGUGAACACUGCAUUUUUGGAAAGCAGAAAAGAGUCAGCUUCACUUCUCCGGCAGUUCACAAAAUGAAAGGUACUCUUGACUAUAUUCAUUUAGACCUUUGGGGUCCAGCUCAUGUGCAGUCUAAAGGUGGUGCUAGGUAUAUGUUGACUUUCAUUGACAAUUAUUCCAGAAAAGUUUGGGUUUAUUUUUUGAAGCAUAAAAAUGAUGUUUUUCUAACAUUUAAACAAUGGAAGGCUUUGAUUGAGAAACAAACAGGUAAACAGAUUAAGCGGCUUCGAACAGAUAAUGGCAUGGAAUUUUGUGAAGGUGACUUUAAUGAAUUUUGCAAAAAUGAAGGAAUCGUUCGGCAUCGCACUGUUAGGAUGACGCCUCAGCAAAAUGGUGUGGCCGAACGUAUAAACAGAACACUCUUGGAAAGAGCGAGGUGUAUGAUCUCAAAUGCAGGGUUGACAAAGGACUUUUGGGUAGAGGCGAUUAAUAUGGCUCGUUACGUUGUCAACCGUGCUCCUUCUACAGCACUUAACUUUAAAACUCCGGAGGAAGUUUGGUCAGGUACUCCUGUUGAUUACUCUGAUUUAAAAAUUUUUGGGUGUCCAGCAUACAUGCAUGUAAAUGAAAGAAAAUUAGAGCCUCGGGCUAAAAAGUACAUUUUCCUUGGGUUUGCUUCUGGGGUGAAAGGAUACAGAUUAUGGUGUUCUGAUCCCAAAUCCCCAAAAUUUGUAAUCAGUAGAGAUGUUACUUUUGAUGAAUUGUUUAUGUUAUCUUCCAAAGAGGAUUCUACUAGUUGUACAAAUGAUAGUGCGCAGAAGCAGGUGGAGCUUGAGAUUGGUAAUUCAGAUUCUUUUAAGUCGAACUCUUCUACUCAAAGAAUGCCAAUAGGUGGUCCCGAGUCUACUGACGCAGAUGAUCCAGAGGAAGAGUAAUAUUCCAUAGCCAAGGAUAGACCACGAAGAGAUAUUCGACCACCAUAAAGAUAUGUAAAUUUGGUUGCAUAUGUUUUGUCUGUUGCAGAAGAGACAAGUGAAGUUGGUGAGCCUACUUCCUACUCAGAUAUAAUUUCUUGUGAUAAUUCCGCUAAGUGGUUGAUUGCGAUGAAUGAAGAAAUUGAAUCUCUCCAUCGGAAUAGAACUUGGGAUCUUGUGAAGCCGCCUUCGGGUAAGAAAAUUGUUGGAUGCAAAUGAGAUACUAUUGCUGAGGGAAAGGCCCUUGUUCAGAAAAUUCAUACGAAGGACAAUCCAGUUGAUAUGUUUACAAAGCCUCUUCCGGUUUACAAGUUCAAGCAGUGUUUGGACUUGGUUGGUGUUCAUUGUUGGUGAUUGCCUGUUAGGGCUUUUAUGAAGAAGGUGGAGCAAGUUUUGUUGGGACAUGCCAAGAUGGAGAUUUGUUAGUUUGGCAAGUCCCAUAAUCCCACAUCGGAAAAAUCAGACUUGUUGUCUCGUCUUGGAACUAUAAAUAAGGGCCUGAGCUUUGAAGUUAGAUGCAUCAUAAGAAAACCUAAGUAUUUACUUUGGUUUAAGUCCACACUCAGUUAAAUAGGUAGAUUUAUAGUUUAAGUUUUUUAGUAUUUUCGGAUAUUUUAUGACCUAGGAACAUCUUCCUAAGACAUUUGUAAUAGUUCUUUUGAUUUGCUCCUCUUGGUCAGUCCCAAGCGCCGCCACCAGCGGAGUGCCUCCGACCUGGUCUCCGGCGGAAAGGCCUUGUCGAAUUCGUGCGCCACGAGCCGGACGAAAUCCUCCAGGAGACGCAGCACGUAACCAAGCUUCUCCUUGAUCAGCUCCAGGACGUAUUGCUCGAGGUCCAAGGCUUCCCCUGCUUCCUUUGCCUUUAGCUUCCUCAUGCUGGCUUCCAUUCAGCUAAAGCAUGAACACCUUACAACUUUUGGAGAAAGAAAGAAUGACAAGUUCAUUCCUCUUGCCCAAUGUCAACUUUUGGAGAAAGAAAGAAUGACAAGUUCAUUCAGCGAAAGCAUGAACACCUUACAACUUUUAACUCUGGUUUUUUUGCUUGGCAAAUACUCAUGGCAUGGAGAAGCUCGUAACCUUUUGGUUCUCUCAGUUUGAACCCUUUCACCUGUCGUCACAAAGUUACAGACAUGGCCAACGAGCAAUAGGACUCGAUUACCGAUUGCAACAGAGAGUCUUACCGUGCUUGGAUGGGUUCACGAUUUGGACCAGGACGACCGUGUCGUUGCCCUGCACCGAGUGGGAGAGCGCCCAGAGCAGAGCAGCCUUCGCCUCCGGGCUGGAGUCCACCACGAUCAUGAUCCGCCUCCCCUGUUCCAUCUCUUGCUUACGUCCAUUGGCCAUGCGAUGUCCAUGCACGUGAGCUCUGACACCAACCUUACAGUGAGAUCUUGUGGCAGAUCUGCUCCCCAGUCAAAUCCCCAUCACUGUGUACGAGCUUUGUCCACAUUCGUAUACGAAGGUUAACGAGUGGUCACAGCACAAAGAAGGCAGACAAGGAGAAAGCCAAGACCAUGUAAUUAGUAUCUGUGAUCGUUUCGUUUCAGCCUUGGGAAAUCGUUGGGUUAGACAUUACUGGAGGAAUCCUUGCACCUCCUCCCAGCGUGCCAUGGCCGCUGGCUCCGUUCCCCUUCUUUCGGAGGAUGCAGUACCUCUCCAAGAGUUCAGGGACCUCAUCGCAUCCCUCCCGGUCGACCACCGCGUCGUCCCCGUGCGGCAAUACCAAGGGUUUUGGUGGCCGGAGAGCACCCUCCCCGGCGUCAUCGCCGUCCAACGCCACUUCAAGUCUCGACCCGAUGACGUCUUCCUCGCCAC